Non-coding RNA from Schistocerca cancellata (South American locust), 75 nucleotides. The record is from the annotation of a RefSeq genome assembly. Lineage: Eukaryota; Metazoa; Arthropoda; Insecta; Orthoptera; Acrididae.
GUCCUCGGUGGCUCAGUCGGAUAGAGCGUCUGCCCUGUAAGCGGGAGGUCACGGGUUCGAGUCACGGCUGGGACA